CUGUGGCCAGUGGCAGUGCGUUCGGAAGCGGCGACUUGCUUCGCCGCUUGCCCGGCCACGGGAAGGCCGUCCUUCCCGGAGAAGAGAAGGCGCUUCUUCGAGCAUC
RNAcentral lists this non-coding RNA (106 nucleotides) under Scrippsiella hangoei. The record is from RNAcentral. Lineage: Eukaryota; Dinophyceae; Peridiniales; Peridiniaceae.